UCCGGUUUGUCACCGGCAGUCCCACUAGAGUGCCCAACUGAAUGUGGCAACUAAUGGCAAGGGUUGCGCUCGUUGCGGGACUUAACCCAACAUGUCACCACACGAGCUGACGACAGCCAUGCAGCACCUGUCUCUCUGCUUACUUGCGUAAGAAGCCGUAUCUCUACGGAUGUCAGAGGAUGUCAAACCCAGGUAAGGUUCUUCGCGUUGCUUCGAAUUAAACCACAUGAUCCACCGCUUGUGCGGGCCCCCGUCAAUUCCUUUGAGUUUUAGUCUUGCGACCGUACUUCCCAGGCGGGGAACUUAUCGCGUUAGCUCCGGCUCAGCAGGGGUCAAGACCCGCUAAGCCUAGUUCCCAUCGUUUACAGCGUGGACUAC
Molecule: unclassified non-coding RNA, 378 nt
Filed under: uncultured Oligoflexales bacterium
Lineage: Bacteria; Pseudomonadati; Bdellovibrionota; Oligoflexia; Oligoflexales
Description: contains 16S-23S intergenic spacer region
Source: RNAcentral